RNAcentral lists this ribosomal RNA (497 nucleotides) under uncultured bacterium. RNAcentral describes it as "partial 16S ribosomal RNA". It matches the Rfam family "Bacterial small subunit ribosomal RNA", at positions 28 to 507 of the family's 1533-position model. The record is from RNAcentral.
GAUGAACGCUGGCGGCGUGCCUAAUACAUGCAAGUCGAGCGAACAGAUGAGGAGCUUGCUCCUCUGACGUUAGCGGCGGACGGGUGAGUAACACGUGGAUAACCUACCUAUAAGACUGGGAUAACUUCGGGAAACCGGAGCUAAUACCGGAUAAUAUAUUGAACCGCAUGGUUCAAUAGUGAAAGACGGUUUUGCUGUCACUUAUAGAUUGAUCCGCGCCGCAUUAGCUAGUUGGUAAGGUAACGGCUUACCAAGGCAACGAUGCGUAGCCGACCUGAGAGGGUGAUCGGCCACACUGGAACUGAGACACGGUCCAGACUCCUACGGGAGGCAGCAGUAGGGAAUCUUCCGCAAUGGGCGAAAGCCUGACGGAGCAACGCCGCGUGAGUGAUGAAGGUCUUCGGAUCGUAAAACUCUGUUAUUAGGGAAGAACAAAUGUGUAAGUACCUAUGCACGUCUUGACGGUACCUAAUCAGAAAGCCACGGCUAACUACGUG